UCCUAUUCAUCACUUUGUAUUUUUCUAUGACGUGGAAUUUUCGAGCCAUGCAUUGGCUGGUCCGAGAGAUUAGGUGACCCCGCCUCUGAACAAACCUGUUGAGGAGAUCUCUUUAUAAAGCCCGUUCCAUCCCAUGCACAAGUUCACAUUCUUAUCCGUUUGAUCACCUGCACCACAAAAUGGCUAGUCAUCCCAUUUUGGUAAUUGUCGCCAUAGCUUCUCUAACCACACUCACCUGGGGAAGUGCCUCCGCGUGACUCUCUAAAAACUUCUACUCCAAAAGUUGCCCCAAUGUUUUGAGCACGGUGAAAUCGGUUGUCGCGUCCGCGGUGUCAAAAGAGCGUUGCAUGGGUGCUUCUCUCCUUCGCCUCUUCUUUCAUGAUUGCUUCGUCAAUUGCGGUCUCGGAGGAGGACCGAGCGGUGGUGGUGCUGGUGGAUUAGGCUGAGGAGAGAAGCUUCCAAGCCCCCGCCGCUGGCAAGGGGAUGGCGAUCGGCCUGGGGUUGCUCCGAUUCAGAGGGAGACAAGAUGCGCGUCUGAGCAAGUGGCAGCUGCGCUGAGUACAUUCUGUCUCUGUCUGUGUCUCUCUCCGGGGCGUCGCACCAUUUCGCUAUCUUAACGUAGAUUGGGGGGUGGGCAGCCCGGCACAGUCCACAUCCACCGAGCGUGAGGGUGAGAAAGACAUAUGGGAUGAUCGACGGCGCCCGUUUCAUUGACUAUGCUCAUUUGAAUUGAGAAGUGGGCCGAACCCUAAAAGAAUAUGCUUUAGUUUUGGCUUCUUCGAAUUAAAUGCUUUCUCCCCGUUUUUCCAAGGAAGUUUCCAUCCAUGUCUGCCUCUGUUAUGUAUAGGUUAACACCCAUGCAUACUUUUCCAUCUCCAUGGACUUGCGACGGGACCCUUGACUCUGUGGACUUCACAUUUUCCCUUUGCUUGCCGGUCUUCUCCCGUCAAACGAUGCCCUUUACUUUAAUUGAAUGUUAUCCACAGGUAAUCCUUAGCCUGAUCCAUGCAAUUGCGAGAGGGACGUGCAAGAAAAGAGGGGCCACACCCAUCUUUCCCUUUCUGUCUAGGAAAGAUUCUUUGGCCUCAUGAUUGAACGACCCUGAUUGUGAUAUUGAUAAAUUUUGUUUUUCACCGUACUAUUCUGCUUUCCCUAUUCUUAGUCUC
Syzygium oleosum is the source of this 1166-nucleotide long non-coding RNA. RefSeq lists it as uncharacterized. The transcript is spliced from 2 exons. NCBI's taxonomy places the organism in Eukaryota, Viridiplantae, Streptophyta, Magnoliopsida, Myrtales, Myrtaceae. The record is from RefSeq and is a predicted model, not a curated record.